RNAcentral lists this ribosomal RNA (403 nucleotides) under Fusobacteriota bacterium. RNAcentral describes it as "Fusobacteria bacterium partial 16S ribosomal RNA". It matches the Rfam family "Bacterial small subunit ribosomal RNA", at positions 355 to 776 of the family's 1533-position model. Lineage: Bacteria; Fusobacteriati; Fusobacteriota. The record is from RNAcentral.
UGGGGAAUCUUGCACAAUGGGGGAAACCCUGAUGCAGCGACGCCGCGUGAGCGAUGAAGGUUUUCGAAUCGUAAAGCUCUGUCCUAUGGGAAGAUAAUGACGGUACCAUGGGAGGAAGCCCCGGCUAACUACGUGCCAGCAGCCGCGGUAAUACGUAGGGGGCGAGCGUUGUCCGGAAUUACUGGGCGUAAAGGGUUCGCAGGCGGCAUGGCAAGUCCGAUGUAAAAGGCGAAGGCUCAACCUUCGUAAGCAUCGGAAACUGUCAAGCUUGAGUGAAGGAGAGGCAAGUGGAAUUCCUAGUGUAGCGGUGGAAUGCGUAGAUAUUAGGAGGAAUACCGGUGGCGAAGGCGGCUUGCUGGACUUCAACUGACGCUGAGGAACGAAAGCGUGGGUAGCAAACAGG